RNAcentral lists this ribosomal RNA (348 nucleotides) under Triticum aestivum (bread wheat). RNAcentral's name for it is "partial small subunit ribosomal RNA". The record is from RNAcentral. Lineage: Eukaryota; Viridiplantae; Streptophyta; Magnoliopsida; Poales; Poaceae.
AUGAGGAUCUCCAAGGAAGGCGGGAUCUCUCUGCAACGGAUCAGGCGCCCUUCCAACCGCACGCCGGCUGCCCCGGUUGCAAAGGUGGCUGAGCGCCUUGUUUGUCGCAGCCUGGGCAUAACCAAAGAUGGUGAAGAUGUCACCUCUUCGACCCUGAAUGUGUUCACGAAGAGAUUCAAGGAGCAGCUCCCCCCUGAAGUGAUUGUGGCCAUGAGGGACUUUUUCAAACUUGACGAUAGUGCUGUUGCUGCUGUCGAGGACGCACUGAUAGACCACGGUGGUGCAGCGGCUAUGGACUCUGUGUGGCUGGAACAAGAUGGCCAGGGAUCACAGCUGGCGAUCGCCUGA